UUCCUACGGGUGGCUGCAGUGGGGAAUAUUGCACAAUGGGCGCAAGCCUGAUGCAGCCAUGCCGCGUGUAUGAAGAAGGCCUUCGGGUUGUAAAGUACUUUCAGCGAGGAGGAAGGCAUUAAGGUUAAUAACCUUAGUGAUUGACGUUACUCGCAGAAGAAGCACCGGCUAACUCCGUGCCAGCAGCCGCGGUAAUACGGAGGGUGCAAGCGUUAAUCGGAAUUACUGGGCGUAAAGCGCACGCAGGCGGUCUGUUAGGUCAGAUGUGAAAUCCCCGGGCUCAACCUGGGAACUGCAUUUGAAACUGGCGGGCUUGAGUCUUGUAGAGGGGGGUAGAAUUCCAGGUGUAGCGGUGAAAUGCGUAGAGAUCUGGAGGAAUACCGGUGGCGAAGGCGGCCCCCUGGACAAAGACUGACGCUCAGGUGCGAAAGCGUGGGGAGCAAACAGGAUUAGAUACCCGAGUAGUCG
This 468-nucleotide ribosomal RNA is filed under the name uncultured Enterobacteriaceae bacterium. Its description in RNAcentral is "bacterial SSU rRNA". It matches the Rfam family "Bacterial small subunit ribosomal RNA", at positions 336 to 796 of the family's 1533-position model. The record is from RNAcentral. Lineage: Bacteria; Pseudomonadati; Pseudomonadota; Gammaproteobacteria; Enterobacterales; Enterobacteriaceae.